This 255-nucleotide ribosomal RNA is filed under the name uncultured bacterium. RNAcentral's name for it is "partial small subunit ribosomal RNA". It matches the Rfam family "Bacterial small subunit ribosomal RNA", at positions 26 to 285 of the family's 1533-position model. The record is from RNAcentral.
AGGACGAACGCUGGCGGCGUGCUUAACACAUGCAAGUCGAACGGAAAGGCCCUUCGGGGUACGUCGAGUGGCGAACGGGUGAGUAACACGUGGGUGAUCUGCCCUGCACUUCGGGAUAAGCCUGGGAAACUGGGUCUAAUACCGGAUAUGACUACGAAUCGCAUGGUUUGUGGUGGAAAGCUUUUGCGGUGUGGGAUGGGCCCGCGGCCUAUCAGCUUAUUGGUGGGUGAUGGCCUACCAAGGCGACGACGGGUA